UCCUUGCCCCCGUUCCCUUUUUCCUCCUCCUCCUCUCCUCUUCUUCUCCAUCCCUUCCUCUUCUCUCUGCCCCCUCCGAGGGUGUUGUGAAUAAUCCUACUAAUCUGUGCCAUUCGACUAGGUUAAAGGCUCCCUCUUCUCCCUGUGGUUUGGUUCUUAAAAGCGUUUUCUUUCUUCUCUUUGUUUACUGCACAGGUGAUUCAAUCUCAUGGUAGAAAUAUCAGAAAGGAGAAGGAAAUCAGAUGAGAGCAAGCCAAGAGAGUAAUUGCGCCUCAUGAUCUUAAACCAGAAAGAACCACUUGUACCUUUUUGCAACGAAAACCAAACUAAAACCAACCCGCUGAACUCCUUUCCGUGAUAUUCAACAGGCUUAUUAUGAAACAUCAUCUUCAGUGCCUGCAGAGUGCUCCUGUGUAUCUAUGGACCUUGAUGUUUCUGUAAUCAUUCCCGCAUUGUUGGACAUUCAGGUGGUGCCUAGUUCUUUCCCUGUGUUUAAAAACAGCACUGUGUGCUCUGACGAGUGAAUCCUUCCCUCUCAAGCCAAAUCUCUGCUAGCGUCCUGGAUGGUCUCCUGAACUGUGGACUUGCCCAAUCUACAGAGGGGCGUUGCAAAGACUUUUCCUGUGUGUUCCCAAAAGGCCCCCUUCACAAGCGUUGUUCCGAUUUGCGCUCAUGCCACCCAGCACAGCUAGUAAAAAGAGUAUAGCCACUUCCCCUACCUUGUCUCCUGCUCACUGUAACUGGGGUGUGUCUGUGCGUGUGCGAGUGCGUGUGUGUGCCUGUGUGUGUGCGUGUGCGACUUGGCCAGCUUCAUGGGUUGCAAAGUGGUAAUUCACUGUCAUUGGUUGUUUUACUGGAACAGUGAGCACUGUUAAUCACUCCUUGCUCCAGUGCUCACUUCCUGUCCUUUUCCUCAUUGCCAGAAACGUAAGUCGCUGUCAUUGCAGGAAAACAACAACAACAAAUUUCACAAAGCAGACAAGUUAACAGAAGAAAGUUAAAAUCAUCAGUUGUCAAUUUUAAUGUCUACCCAUGUCUUCCUAAAACAUGUUCAUCUGCAGUUGUCUAGUAUUUUGAAGAACUACCUGAAACAUUUUGGCUUUUGGUCCAGUAUUUUUAUGCAUAUGUCAUUUAUGUAUAUUGAAAUGUACAUACUGUUUUUAUAGCUGCUCUUCAUGCAUAAAUAUGUGGGGUAUGUAUACAUGCGUACUCUUGAUGUUUAUUUCAUGUCAAUAAAGAUACUUUAAAAACA
Chinchilla lanigera (long-tailed chinchilla) is the source of this 1252-nucleotide long non-coding RNA. RefSeq lists it as uncharacterized. The transcript is spliced from 2 exons. The record is from RefSeq and is a predicted model, not a curated record. NCBI's taxonomy places the organism in Eukaryota, Metazoa, Chordata, Mammalia, Rodentia, Chinchillidae.